CUACGGGCCGCUGCAGUAAGGAAUAUUGCGCAAUGGAGGCAACUCUGACGCAGCCAUGCCGCGUGCAGGAAGAAGGCCUUAUGGGUCGUAAACUGCUUUUAUUUAGGAAUAAACCCCCGAACGUGUUCGGGGCUGAAGGUACUAAACGAAUAAGCACCGGCUAACUCCGUGGCCAGCAGCCGCGGUAAUACGGAGGGUGCAAGCGUUAUCCGGAUUUAUUGGGUUUAAAGGGUGCGCAGGCGGGCUAUUAAGUCAGUGGUGAAAUCCCGGGGCUCAACUCCGGAACUGCCAUUGAUACUGAUAGUCUUGAGUUUGGUUGAAGUGGGCGGAAUGUAGCAUGUAGCGGUGAAAUGCAUAGAUAUGCUACAGAACACCAAUCGCGAAGGCAGCUCACUAAGCCAAAACUGACGCUCAUGCACGAAAGCGUGGGGAUCAAGCAGGAUUAGAUACCCUAGUAGUC
RNAcentral lists this ribosomal RNA (460 nucleotides) under uncultured bacterium. RNAcentral's name for it is "partial 16S ribosomal RNA". It matches the Rfam family "Bacterial small subunit ribosomal RNA", at positions 339 to 795 of the family's 1533-position model. The record is from RNAcentral.